UGGGGAAUCUUGGACAAUGGGCGCAAGCCUGAUGGAGCGACGUCGCGUGAUGGACGAAGUGCUUCGGCACGUAAACAUCUUUUUAUGUGGGAUGAAAUUAUUGACAGUACCACAUGAAUAAGGGGCUCCUAACUCUGUGCCAGCAGGAGCGGUAAUACAGAGGCCCCAAGCGUUAUCCGGAAUCACUGGGCGUAAAGGGUGUCGAGGCGGUUGUAUUAGUCGUUCGUAAAAUCUACGAGCUUAACUUGUAGGCGGCGAACGAAACGGUACGACUUGAGGUUUGGAGAGGUGCGUGGAACUCACGGUGUAGGGGUGAAAUCCGUUGAUAUCGUGGGGAACACCAAAGGCGAAGGCAGCGCACUGGCCAAAAUCUGACGCUCACACACGAAAGCUAGGGUAGCGAAGAGGAUUAGAUACCCAAGUAGUCCCUGAGCGGGCUGGCAAGGCGCAU
RNAcentral lists this ribosomal RNA (451 nucleotides) under uncultured bacterium. RNAcentral's name for it is "bacterial SSU rRNA". It matches the Rfam family "Bacterial small subunit ribosomal RNA", at positions 355 to 825 of the family's 1533-position model. The record is from RNAcentral.